AACGGCCGCGGUAUCCUGACCGUGCGAAGGUAGCGUAAUCAUUUGUCUUUUAAAUAGAGACCUGUAUGAAUGGCAUAACGAGGGUUUAACUGUCUCCUUCCCCUAGUCAAUGAAAUUGAUCUGCCCGUGCAGAAGCGGACAUAAAUACAUAAGACGAGAAGACCCUAUGGAGCUUUAGACAAAAGAUCAAACAUGUAAAGAAACCAAGUUAACCAAAAGGAACACAAAGGCCACGAAACCCGACGUAAACUGAUCCAAAUGUCUUCGGUUGGGGCGACCAUGGGGGAGAAAAAAGCCCCCACGAGGAACAGGGACUAAUCCCUAAGCCAAGAGAGACAUCUCUAAGCAACAGAAAAUCUGACCAAAAAUGACCCAGAAUACUAAUUCUGAUCAACGAACCAAGUUACCCUAGGGAUAACAGCGCAAUCCUUUCCCAGAGUCCAUAUCGACGAAAGGGUUUACGACCUCGAUGUUGGAUCAGGACAUCCUAAUGGUGCAGCCGCUAUUAAGGGUUCGUUU
This 519-nucleotide ribosomal RNA is filed under the name Anguilla japonica (Japanese eel). Its description in RNAcentral is "partial 16S rRNA". It matches the Rfam family "Bacterial large subunit ribosomal RNA", at positions 1926 to 2578 of the family's 2925-position model. Lineage: Eukaryota; Metazoa; Chordata; Actinopteri; Anguilliformes; Anguillidae. The record is from RNAcentral.